RNAcentral lists this ribosomal RNA (118 nucleotides) under Betta splendens (Siamese fighting fish). Lineage: Eukaryota; Metazoa; Chordata; Actinopteri; Anabantiformes; Osphronemidae. The record is from RNAcentral.
GCUUACGGCCAUACCAUAUGAGCACGCCCGAUCUCGUCUGAUCUCAGAAGCUAAGCAGGGUCGGGCCUGUUUAUUACUUGGAUGGGAGACUGCCUUGGAAUACCAGGUGCUGUAAGCU